This is a non-coding RNA of Mycena latifolia, 91 nucleotides long. The record is from the annotation of a GenBank genome assembly. NCBI's taxonomy places the organism in Eukaryota, Fungi, Basidiomycota, Agaricomycetes, Agaricales, Mycenaceae.
GCGGACAUGGUUCACGGUGCACCACUGCAUUCUAUGAAAUGGUGCAAAGAGGUUAAAGCAGUUGAACGGGGUUCGACUCCCCGUGUCCGCC